AGUUUGAUCCUGGCUCAGAUUGAACGCUGGCGGCAUGCCUUACACAUGCAAGUCGAACGGCAGCACGGGGGCAACCCUGGUGGCGAGUGGCGAACGGGUGAGUAAUACAUCGGAACGUGUCCUGUAGUGGGGGAUAGCCCGGCGAAAGCCGGAUUAAUACCGCAUACGCUCUACGGAGGAAAGGGGGGGAUCUUCGGACCUCUCGUUAUAGGGGCGGCCGAUGGCAGAUUAGCUAGUUGGUGGGGUAAAGGCCUACCAAGGCGACGAUCUGUAGCUGGUCUGAGAGGACGACCAGCCACACUGGGACUGAGACACGGCCCAGACUCCUACGGGAGGCAGCAGUGGGGAAUUUUGGACAAUGGGCGCAAGCCUGAUCCAGCAAUGCCGCGUGUGUGAAGAAGGCCUUCGGGUUGUAAAGCACUUUUGUCCGGAAAGAAAACCUCUGCCCUAAUACGGCGGGGGGAUGACGGUACCGGAAGAAUAAGCACCGGCUAACUACGUGCCAGCAGCCGCGGUAAUACGUAGGGUGCAAGCGUUAAUCGGAAUUACUGGGCGUAAAGCGUGCGCAGGCGGUCCGCUAAGACAGAUGUGAAAUCCCCGGGCUUAACCUGGGAACUGCAUUUGUGACUGGCGGGCUAGAGUAUGGCAGAGGGGGGUAGAAUUCCACGUGUAGCAGUGAAAUGCGUAGAGGUGUGGAGGAAUACCGAUGGCGAAGGCAGCCCCCUGGGCCAAUACUGACGCUCAUGCACGAAAGCGUGGGGAGCAAACAGGAUUAGAUACCCUGGUAGUCCACGCCCUAAACGAUGUCAACUGGUUGUCGGGUCUUCAUUGACUUGGUAACGUAGCUAACGCGUGAAGUUGACCGCCUGGGGAGUACGGUCGCAAGAUUAAAACUCAAAGGAAUUGACGG
This 910-nucleotide ribosomal RNA is filed under the name uncultured bacterium. RNAcentral's name for it is "bacterial SSU rRNA". It matches the Rfam family "Bacterial small subunit ribosomal RNA", at positions 10 to 916 of the family's 1533-position model. The record is from RNAcentral.